This is a long non-coding RNA of Rosa chinensis, 1121 nucleotides long. RefSeq lists it as uncharacterized. The record is from RefSeq and is a predicted model, not a curated record. Lineage: Eukaryota; Viridiplantae; Streptophyta; Magnoliopsida; Rosales; Rosaceae. The transcript has 3 exons.
GAACAGUGAGAUUAAACCAGAAAGAUCGAGAGAGAGGGAGAUAGAGCUCGGUGCUCUAACCAGAGGAGCAGCACGGCCCGAGAGAGAAACCGGACCGGAGGGACGCCGUCCGGCCACCGAUCGACGACUCAAGACCACCGACCUCUUCCUCUUGUCGUCGCCGUCAUGCCUGUGGUCUUCGACUGCCCAUGCACCGGACGGGGAGGGAGAAACGUCGGUGAGAAGGUCUGAGUCUCUCCGGCGAGUUCUGCAAUUUCCGGCCACCGUUGGAGCUGCAAGUGGUAUGAAAAUUCAUCUCCUCGUCAAGCUCUACACCCCAGUAUAAUUAGAUUUUGAUUUUGACCCCGCGUUAACGAUUUCGUUUCUGAGUUUGAUUUUGAGUUUGCCGUGUUCCUCGACGCCGGUAGUUUUUCCGGUCAUGCUGGGCUUGGUUUUCAUCUUGGCUGCGUUGGUGGACAGAAAUCAAGAGACUUUCUGGGUUAUUGGCGUCAAAAUCCUCAGUUCAUCAUUAGCCCAAUUCAGCUAGGAAUUCCGGAAAACCGAGUUGGGUUGUGAAGGACUCCAGUUACCCGAGGAACAGAAGGUUCGCGACUCUCGGAGUACGUGAAAGCAAGCAUUGGAGUCCAGUAUGGAUGCAGGUACUGUGCACUGGUGACGGGACAAUAGCGGACGGAGCUGGGUGUGCAGAACAAGUUUGGUAAACCACCUUCUGGGCUUUAUUCUGAUUUCCAGUUCUCGAACUCCGUGUUUCGGAACUUGUGGUUAUUUAACAUCGUGUCAAAGUUAGUUGAAUUCUCUUUCAUUGAAAUUCAUACCUCGUGUGAUCCUUAUCCAAGUACUGGAUGAGUGAAAUAGAUUUCAGCAACUCUAGUUCUUCACCUCAAAAAUAUCGAUAGCUUCCGCUGUGUGUUGCAAAAAGUUUUCUAACGAAAUGCCUAGCGGUCCUCUAGAAUGUGAAUCGAGCUUUCGGUUUAUAUUUUAGAGCUCCGCGGCACUGUAACGUGCCCAAGCUGGUGAGGUGCGGCUUGGGGCGUUACAAAAAAAAUAAUCCAAAAUGAUAUAUUUUAAAUUGUCUAAAGCAAUUUGUUAAUAACUCUAUUAAAAGUAAUUCAAAACUAGUG